RNAcentral lists this ribosomal RNA (462 nucleotides) under uncultured bacterium. RNAcentral describes it as "partial 16S ribosomal RNA". It matches the Rfam family "Bacterial small subunit ribosomal RNA", at positions 28 to 507 of the family's 1533-position model. The record is from RNAcentral.
GACGAACGCUGGCGGCGUGCUUAACACAUGCAAGUCGAGCGGAAAGGCCCUUCGGGGUACUCGAGCGGCGAACGGGUGAGUAACACGUGAGUAACCUGCCCCAGACUUUGGGAUAACCCUCGGAAACGGGGGCUAAUACCGGAUACGACACAGCUUCGCAUGGGGUCUGUGUGGAAAGUUUUUCGGUUUGGGAUGGGCUCGCGGCCUAUCAGCUUGUUGGUGGGGUGAUGGCCUACCAAGGCGACGACGGGUAGCAGGCCUGAGAGGGCGACCGGCCACACUGGGACUGAGACACGGCCCAGACUCCUACGGGAGGCAGCAGUGGGGAAUAUUGCACAAUGGGCGGAAGCCUGAUGCAGCGACGCCGCGUGAGGUAUGACGGCCUUCGGGUUGUAAACCUCUUUCAGCAGGGACGAAGCGUAAGUGACGGUACCUGCAGAAGAAGCGCCGGCCAACUACGUG